GUUAAGCUUCUGCAUUCUGUUUGGGCCUAUGUUUAAAUCUCGAGGUACGUGAUCGUAAACAUUUUUUUUUGCUAAGCGCUAGAAUUUGGUUGGAAGUUAUAAAGAUUUAAAAUUUGUCGUCAUCUUCUAUUCGUUUCUUUCUUUUUGUUGUUCUUUUCUUUCCUUUCCUUUUCUUUUCUCUUUUCGAUUCUUUUAUUUUUCUUUUUCAUUUUGAUCACGGUCAUAAGCAUGGGUCUAGACGAAGUUAUACGUCGUUAAUUGUAUCGAUCAAAAGGUUAUUGAGUAAGUUUCACCAUCAAUUCAGUAAAUUCCGUAGUUUCUUUUAUUGUUUUCGUAGAAUGUUCUAAAUUCGGCAUCUCGAGCAUAUUGUGUAGUUUCUGAUAAUUAGUCGUUUGGUUUCCUCUUAGUCGGGGAUAUCGAGAGUAGCAUACCUCAACUCAACAAUUCAAGUGACCAUUGUUGACCUUCCGGUAAGUUUGAUUUCGUUGGAAGGUUUCGUGUCGAAACCUUCGACAUAAAGUAUUAUGUGUAUAGGUGUGCAUUAUUGUCGAUAAAGUUGGUUGACUGAGUUAUUGGAUGGUCAUUUUAGGCUUCGGAGAUCCUUUACAUUGUUAUUGCUUCGAAAUCUCUUCAAGUGCGUACCGAAAACCUUAAAUUUUGUGAAUUUUAGGCACCGAAAAACAUGGCUGUCGACGCCACAUGGUCGUGUGGUAGGCCGUGUAACACACUACUUACCAAAUUCGAGCCACUUGGGUAGGGGACACGGACGUGUUCCCCCGUCAUGUGUGGGCAUGCUAAUGUAGGGUUCACACGGGCCAAGGACACAGGUGUGUGUGUAGGCCGUGUAUCUCGUUGAGUACAAGAUAAGGACCACCCAGGCCAGAGACACGAGCGUGUGUCCAGGUCAUGUGGCUUACUGUUUGAGAUUUAGGAUCACGCGAGUAGACCACAGGGGCGUGUGUUAGGCCGUGUAAGACACACGGCUGAUCACACGGGCGUGUGCCAGGCCAUGUGGAAUCACACGGGCAUGUGGGUCAGUUUUGGAAGUCAUCUAUGGGGUCGUAAGUGUUGUUAACGCAAAUGUGGGCUGUCUGUAAUGUAUAUGUAUGAUCUGAAUUUGGUCGUAAGAUUGUUAUCUAAUAAUUUGAGAUUGAGAUUCUGAUUAUAUAAAUGUUUACCGAAUCUGAACGACUGUGUGUACAUUUUGACAUGUGUAAUCUGUAACUGCAUUAGGUGGGAAAUCAUGUAAAGAAGGAAGUGACCUAUUCUGAUUCGGUGGCUAGACCACUACUUAUAUGUGAGUUCAGCAUUACUCGCCUAUUGAUCUGGCAGCUAGGCUGCAAACAUUCUGAAAAGUGUCAUAUUGACACUAAGUGGUGUGUAGGGCAUGAGGGGUAUUCUACACCCUAAAUGAUGUAUUGG
This 1422-nucleotide long non-coding RNA is filed under the name Gossypium raimondii (Peruvian cotton). Its description in RNAcentral is "long non-coding RNA (GRAI_LNC007172)". Lineage: Eukaryota; Viridiplantae; Streptophyta; Magnoliopsida; Malvales; Malvaceae. The record is from RNAcentral.